This 2597-nucleotide ribosomal RNA is filed under the name Saccharomyces cerevisiae (brewer's yeast). RNAcentral describes it as "eukaryotic LSU rRNA". The stretch from base 392 to 2597 matches the Rfam family "Eukaryotic large subunit ribosomal RNA", at positions 1 to 2168 of the family's 3401-position model. The record is from RNAcentral. Lineage: Eukaryota; Fungi; Ascomycota; Saccharomycetes; Saccharomycetales; Saccharomycetaceae.
ACUUUCAACAACGGAUCUCUUGGUUCUCGCAUCGAUGAAGAACGCAGCGAAAUGCGAUACGUAAUGUGAAUUGAAAGAAUUCCCGUGAAUCAUCGAAUCUUUGAACGCACAUUGCGCCCCUUGGUAUUCCAGGGGGCAUGCCUGUUUGAGCGUCAUUUCCUUCUCAAACAUUCUGUUUGGUAGUGAGUGAUACUCUUUGGAGUUAACUUGAAAUGAUGGCCUUUCCUUGGAUGUUUCUUUUUCCAAAGAGAGGUUCUCUGCGUGCUUGACGGUACUAAUGCAGUCCGGUCGUUUUAGGUUUUACCAACUGCGGCUAAUCUUUUUUAUACUGAGCGUAUUGGAACGUUAUCGAUAAGAAGACGAGCGUCUAGGCGAACAAUGUUCUUAAAGUUGACCUCAAAUAGGUAGGAGUACCCGCUGAACUUAAGGCAUAUCAAUAAGCGGAAGGAAACAGAAACCAACCGGGAUUGCCUUAGUAACGGCGAGGUGAAGCGGCAAAAAGCUCAAAUUUGAAAUCUGUACCUUCGGUGCCCGAGUUGUUAAUUGGACGAGGGCAACUUUGGGGCCGUUCCUUGUCUAUGUUCCUUGGAACAGGACGUCAUAGAGGGUGAGAAUCCCGUGUGGCGAGGAGUGCGGUUCUUUGUAAAGUGCCUUCGAAGAGUCGAGUUGUUUGGGAAUGCAGCUCUAAGUGGGUGGUAAAUUCCAUCUAAAGCUAAAUAUUGGCGAGAGACCGAUAGCGAACAAGUACAGUGAUGGAAAGAUGAAAAGAACUUUGAAAAGAGAGUGAAAAAGUACGUGAAAUUGUUGAAAGGGAAGGGCAUUUGAUCAGACAUGGUGUUUUGUGCCCUCUGCUCCUUGUGGGUAGGGGAAUCUCGCAUUUCACUGGGCCAGCAUCAGUUUUGGUGGCAGGAUAAAUCCAUAGGAAUGUAGCUUGCCUCGGUAAGUAUUAUAGCCUGUGGGAAUACUGCCAGCUGGGACUGAGGACUGCGACGUAAGUCAAGGAUGCUGGCAUAAUGGUUAUAUGCCGCCCGUCUUGAAACACGGACCAAGGAGUCUAACGUCUAUGCGAGUGUUUGGGGUUGUAAACCCAUACGCGUAAUGAAAGGUGAACGUAGGUUGGGGCCUCGCAAGAGGUUGCACAAUCGACCGAUCCUGAUGUCUUCGGAUGGAUUUGAGUAAGAGCAUAGCUGUUGGGACCCGAAAGAUGGUGAACUAUGCCUGAAUAGGGUGAAGCCAGAGGAAACUCUGGUGGAGGCUCGUAGCGGUUCUGACGUGCAAAUCGAUCGUCGAAUUUGGGUAUAGGGGCGAAAGACUAAUCGAACCAUCUAGUAGCUGGUUCCCUGCCGAAGUUUCCCUCAGGAUAGCAGAAGCUCGUAUCAGUGUUAUGAGGUUAAAGCGAAUGAUUAGAGGUUCAGGGGUCGAAAUGACCUUGAACCUAUUCUCAAAACUUUAAAUAUGUAAGAAGUCCUUGUUACUUAAUUGAAACGUGGACAUUUGAAUGAAGAGCUUUUAGUGGGCCAUUUUUGGUACAGCAGAAACUGGCGAUGCGGGAUGAACCGAACGUAGAGUUAAGGUGCCGGAAUACACGCUCAUCAGACACCACAAAAAGGGUUGUAGUUUCAUCUAGACAGCCGGACGGUGGCCAUGGAAGUCGGAUCCGCUAAGGAGUGUGUAACAACUCACCGGCCGAAUGAAACUAGCCCUGAAAAUGGAUGGCGCUCAAGCGUUGUUACCUAUACCUACCGUCAGGGUUGAUAUGAUGCCCUGACGAGUAGGCAGGCGUGGAGGUCAGUGACGAAGCCUAGACCGUAAGGUCGGGUCUGAACGGCCUCUAGUGCAGAUCUUGGUGGUAGUAAGCAAUAUUCAAUGAGAACUUUGAAGACUGAAGUGGGGAAGGUUCCACGUCAACAGCAGUUGGACGUGGGUUAGUCGAUCCUAAGAGAUGGGGAAGCUCCGUUUCAAAGGCCUGAUUUUAUGCGGCCACCAUCGAAGGGAAUCCGGUUAAGAUUCCGGAACCUGGAUAUUGAUUCUCACGGUAACUGAACUGAAUGUGGAGACGUCGGCGCGAGCCCUUGAGGAGGAGUUAUCUUUUCUUCUUAACAGUCUUAUCCACCCCCGGGAAUUGGUUUAGUCCGGAGAUGGGGUCUUAUGGCUGGAAAGAGGGCCAGCACCUUUGCCUGCUUCCGGUGCUGCGUAGUGAACGUCCCGUGAAAAUCCACAGGAAGGAAAUAGUUUUCAUGCCAGGUCGUACUGAUAACCGCAGCAGGGUCUCCAAGGUGAACAGCCUACUAGUUGAUAGAAUAAUGUAGAUAAGGUGGAAGUCGGCAAAAUAGAUACCGUAACCUUCGGGGAUAAGGAUUUGGCUAUCUAGAGGGAUCGGGUAUGUGAGAGGCCUAUGUCAGGAACGCAGCGGGACAGUGCUCUGUGGCCUGCUUGGUGGGGCUUGUCUCUGCUAGGCGGACUACUGUGCGUGCCUGUUGUAUGAGGCCUCGGUAGGUCUCUUGUAGACCGUCGCUUGCUACAAUUAACGAUCAACUUAGAACUGGUACGGACAAGGGGAAUCUGACUGUCUAAUUAAAACAUAGCAUUGCGAUGGU